RNAcentral lists this ribosomal RNA (404 nucleotides) under uncultured bacterium. Its description in RNAcentral is "bacterial SSU rRNA". It matches the Rfam family "Bacterial small subunit ribosomal RNA", at positions 29 to 439 of the family's 1533-position model. The record is from RNAcentral.
AUUGAACGCUGGCGGCAUGCCUUACACAUGCAAGUCGAACGGCAGCGCGGGAGCAAUCCUGGCGGCGAGUGGCGAACGGGUGAGUAAUAUAUCGGAACGUGCCCAGUAGUGGGGGAUAGCCCGGCGAAAGCCGGAUUAAUACCGCAUGAGACCUGAGGGUGAAAGCGGGGGAUUGCAAGACCUCGCGCUACUGGAGCGGCCGAUAUCAGAUUAGCUAGUUGGUGGGGUAAAAGCCUACCAAGGCGACGAUCUGUAGCUGGUCUGAGAGGACGACCAGCCACACUGGGACUGAGACACGGCCCAGACUCCUACGGGAGGCAGCAGUGGGGAAUUUUGGACAAUGGGGGCAACCCUGAUCCAGCCAUGCCGCGUGCGGGAAGAAGGCCUCGGUGUAACGCUUUGUC